Ciona intestinalis (vase tunicate) is the source of this 72-nucleotide non-coding RNA. The record is from RefSeq. Lineage: Eukaryota; Metazoa; Chordata; Ascidiacea; Phlebobranchia; Cionidae.
UGACGUAGUGGUUAGUUGAAUGUGAAUGAGUUAUUCUGAGUGAUGGCGGGUUGAAUGGAAUUGUUGAUGUGG